UCACACUUCCAUCAAACAGUACCUGCCCCUUAGGUGUGCUAGGAAAUAAAUGAAAUGCCUGGGACAUCAUCGUUAAGUGGCAUCUGAUGCAUAAGCAGUGCCCUAGGAACGGGGUUGCCUGCCUUGGUCUCUAAAGGAUGGGUUCAAAAGGCAAGAGCAACAUACAAGAAGAUAGCUUCAAGCAGGAGAAAAAGCUUGGCCAAGGGCCCAAAGGGGAUACGACCCUUCAGGUUGGCCCUGACCUCUGGGUUGGAUUACCAGUGACACAAUGAACAUUUCAUUAUGAGGCCAUCCCUUGAGCAAACUGACAUGCUGAAAGCUGCCCUAUGGAGAGGCUCAUGUGGCAAGGAACAGAGGGUAGCUUCUGGCCAACACCCAGUGAGGAACUCAGGCCCUCAGUCAAACAGCCUGCAAGGAACUGAACCCUGCCAAUAACCAGGCAGUGUCAGCCCCCGGCCAAUGACCACCAUGGACCUCCCUCUGGUUGAACAAAGUUGGGUUUGCUGACUGGUGGCAGUGAGGGAGAAUGCACACCACAGGGAGCUGUGCAGUGUCUCAGUAAGAAGCCAGGAGCCAUCCCGUGAGGCCGUUACUGCAAACAAGCUGAAAAUCCUGCUUUGUUUCUUUUGGACACAACAUGCUUUCCUUCAGCUUCAGUAGACGAUGAGGCCAGCACCACAUGGGCUAGAUGUACAUGAGAUGUGAGCAACCACACUUCCCCUCUGACGGGGACAGACAGCAUCACAGGACAUGAAGUUCUAAGAGGUUCAGUGACUUGUCUAAGAUUAAACAGCUAUGAAUGGAGAACUGGAGGCAAAUGCCUCAUCAUCUCUCACCUGGGCAACUGCAACAAUGAGCAGCUUGUGUCUGUGCCUGCAUCCAUCCUUCCAUCCUGUUCUCCAGCAGCAGCCAGGGUGGUCUUUCAAAAAUGCAAAGCUGAUAAUGUUACUCCCCUGCUGUAAACCUUCCAGCGGUUUCCUAUUGCCUUCAGAAUAAAAUACAAAUCGUCUGGCCUCCAUCUAUCUCUCCAGGCUCAUCCUCUCUCAAUUUUCCAUAUCCUUCAGUAUCCUGUUGGGACAGACAGAUGAAGAACCAGAGACCCAGAGAGGUUAAGUAGCUUGCCAAAGGUCACGCAGCAGUGUAAGCAGUACGGAUGAUUCUUAAGCCCACAUUGUUUGACUUCCGAGACAUAUCAGAAAACUACGUCAAAGAACACGCACAACUCAGACCUAUUUCCAGUGGCCUAUGCAGAAGAGCUACCCUGCUUGAAUGGAAACCCCUUAAGAUAUACUAUUCUCGAAAACCUAAGUGCUUAGCCUGGUUUAUGGAGGAGGCAAUGCAAUCUACCACAAGAUGAUUAAGACAACAAUGAACUUAAGUCCCAGCCACUGCUGGAGAAUAUCUGCCUGUGAAUUCAAUUUGGUUCAAUUCAAUCCGA
Long non-coding RNA from Gorilla gorilla gorilla (western lowland gorilla), 1438 nucleotides. RefSeq lists it as uncharacterized. The record is from RefSeq and is a predicted model, not a curated record. The transcript has 7 exons. Lineage: Eukaryota; Metazoa; Chordata; Mammalia; Primates; Hominidae.